RNAcentral lists this ribosomal RNA (467 nucleotides) under uncultured bacterium. RNAcentral describes it as "partial 16S ribosomal RNA". It matches the Rfam family "Bacterial small subunit ribosomal RNA", at positions 28 to 506 of the family's 1533-position model. The record is from RNAcentral.
GACGAACGCUGGCGGCGUGCUUAACACAUGCAAGUCGAACGGAAAGGCCCUGCUUUUGCGGGGUGCUCGAGUGGCGAACGGGUGAGUAACACGUGAGUAACCUGCCCUUGACUUUGGGAUAACUUCAGGAAACUGGGGCUAAUACCGGAUAGGAGCUCCUGCUGCAUGGUGGGGGUUGGAAAGUUUCGGCGGUUGGGGAUGGACUCGCGGCUUAUCAGCUUGUUGGUGGGGUAGUGGCUUACCAAGGCUUUGACGGGUAGCCGGCCUGAGAGGGUGACCGGCCACAUUGGGACUGAGAUACGGCCCAGACUCCUACGGGAGGCAGCAGUGGGGAAUAUUGCACAAUGGGCGGAAGCCUGAUGCAGCAACGCCGCGUGCGGGAUGACGGCCUUCGGGUUGUAAACCGCUUUCGCCUGUGACGAAGCGUGAGUGACGGUAAUGGGUAAAGAAGCACCGGCUAACUACGU